This 450-nucleotide ribosomal RNA is filed under the name uncultured Glomeromycotina. RNAcentral's name for it is "SSU rRNA". It matches the Rfam family "Eukaryotic small subunit ribosomal RNA", at positions 569 to 1023 of the family's 1831-position model. The record is from RNAcentral. Lineage: Eukaryota; Fungi; Glomeromycota.
AGCAGCCGCGGUAAUUCCAGCUCCAAUAGCGUAUAUUAAAGCUGUUGCAGUUAAAAAGCUCGUAGUUGAAUUUCGGGAUCGACGGGUCGGUCGCGCCUCCGGUGUGUACUGGCCCUGUCGGUUUCUCCCUUCUGACGAACCACGAUGUCAUUAAUUUGAUGACGUGGGAAAUCAGGACUGUUACUUUGAAAAAAUUAGAGUGUUUAAAGCAGGCAUUCGCUUGAAUACAUUAGCAUGGAAUAAUGAAAUAGGACGUUUGAUCUUAUUUUGUUGGUUUCUAAGAUCGACGUAAUGAUUAAUAGGGAUAGUUGGGGGCAUUAGUAUUCAAUUGUCAGAGGUGAAAUUCUUGGAUUUAUUGAAGACUAACUACUGCGAAAGCAUUUGCCAAGGAUGCUUUCAUUAAUCAAGAACGAAAGUUAGGGGAUCGAAGACGAUCAGAUACCGUCGUAG